Molecule: ribosomal RNA, 421 nt
Filed under: uncultured prokaryote
Description: bacterial SSU rRNA
Rfam family: Bacterial small subunit ribosomal RNA
Source: RNAcentral
UAGGGAAUAUUGGUCAAUGGGUGAGAGCCUGAACCAGCCAUGCCGCGUGCAGGAAGACGGCCUUCUGGGUUGUAAACUGCUUUUAUCUGGGGAUAAAAAGCCCAUGCGUGGGACAUUGAAGGUACCAGAUGAAUAAGCACCGGCUAACUACGUGCCAGCAGCCGCGGUAAUACGUAGGGUGCAAGCGUUGUCCGGAUUUAUUGGGUUUAAAGGGUGCGUAGGCGGUCUAUUAAGUCAGUGGUGAAAUCCAACAGCUCAACUGUUGAUGUGCCAAUGAUACUGAUGGACUUGAGUACAGACGAGGUAGGCGGAAUUGACAGUGUAGCGGUGAAAUGCAUAGAUAUUGUCAAGAACACCGAUAGCGAAGGCAGCUUGCUAGCCUGUAACUGACGCUGAGGCACGAAAGUAUGAGGAUCAAACA